RNAcentral lists this ribosomal RNA (402 nucleotides) under bacterium. RNAcentral's name for it is "partial 16S ribosomal RNA". It matches the Rfam family "Bacterial small subunit ribosomal RNA", at positions 355 to 776 of the family's 1533-position model. The record is from RNAcentral.
UGGGGAAUUUUGCACAAUGGGGGAAACCCUGAUGCAGCGACGCCGCGUGAUUUAGAAGGCCUUCGGGUUGUAAAAAUCUUUUUUACGGGAUGAAAAUGACAGUACCGUAAGAAUAAGGUCCGGCUAAAUACGUGCCAGCAGCCGCGGUAAUACGUAUGGACCGAGCGUUGUCCGGAAUCAUUGGGCGUAAAGGGUACGUAGGCGGCCUAGUAAGUUAGAAGUGAAAUAAUAUAGCUCAACUAUAUAAAGCUUUUAAAACUGCUACGCUUGAGAGAUGGAAGGGAAAGUGGAAUUCCUAGUGUAGCGGUGAAAUGCGCAGAUAUUAGGAAGAAUACCGGUGGCGAAGGCGACUUUCUGGUCAUCAUCUGACGCUGAGGUACGAAAGCGUGGGUAGCAAACAGG